UCAGACGAUGGAGAGGGCUCAUCCAAGCCCACGGAAAAGAGGAGGCGGGAACCUUUAGGAAACUUUUCUCCCGACAAGACAGAGGGGCAGAAGACGACCCAACGUCUCAUAGUGCACCUCCCCGGUCCCUAGCUUCGCAGCCCUUGGUCGAUCCAAGUGUCCCUAGUUUGUGGCCAGCAGCCCCUAGGGCCACUUCCGCGCGGGCAGGGGAAAAAGAAGCCGCUGCCCAGGGAGUUCCACUCGCGCUCUAGGGAACAGAGGCUGAGACAGGACUUUCAGAGCCCAGAAACUCUGCCCCCACUUGUCCUGGUCCUGCUGUUACUCUUCCUUACUCUUCCUCUGGCAAAGCACUGCUCUCCAUCCCACAUGCCAGGACUGCCAAUCAGGCUCUUCUCAGUCAACUGAGUAUCAGAUCAGCACCAUCAUCAGUGGUCAGAAGUGCCUGAGCAGUGAGGAAGGUCGGAGCCCAGGAAUGGAGCAACUACCCCAUCAUGGAGGAGGGGCCAUGAGGAUACGCCACAGAAGUAAUCACAGCAACUCCUGAAUUUAAAUAAGAAUCAUUCUGAGCGGCUCCAUCAGUAGCUCUCAGCAAAUUUCAUCUUCCCAGUCUUUGUGAGCAUCGCAUUCCCAGGACAGUUCCCAGGGCAAGGAACCCUACCACAUAAGGAAACUGAGGCAACAGAAAAGUUGGGAGCUCAGCAACUAAGGUAUACAGUGCCUGGAAAAGGAUGUCAUGGGAGAACUGAGGAGUGGACGUGUGCACUUGAAGAAGACUCUGGAAGGGCGCAGGUGCUUCUGUAGCCCAUCUUUGUAUCCUGGAGAAAUGGGAAGACCCA
Molecule: long non-coding RNA, 836 nt
Organism: Sciurus carolinensis (gray squirrel)
Lineage: Eukaryota; Metazoa; Chordata; Mammalia; Rodentia; Sciuridae
Exons: 5
Source: RefSeq, a predicted model, not a curated record